RNAcentral lists this long non-coding RNA (5594 nucleotides) under Sus scrofa (pig). RNAcentral's name for it is "lncRNA (ENSSSCG00000060020.1)". Lineage: Eukaryota; Metazoa; Chordata; Mammalia; Artiodactyla; Suidae. The record is from RNAcentral.
UGGAGAAAAGGGAACUCUCCUAUACUGUUGGUGAGAAUGUAAAUGGGUAUAACCCCUAUGGAAAAUAUAACUAAAUAUAGAUUACCAUAUGAUCCAGCAAUCCUACUCCUGAGCAUAUAUCCAGACAAAACUAUAAUUCAAAAAGAUACAUGCACCCACAUGUUCACAGCAACACUAUUCACAAUAGCUAGGACAUGGAAACAACCUGAAUGUCCACUGACAUUUAGAACUGGAUUAAGAUGUUGUACAUAAAUACAAUGGAAUACUACUCAGCCAUAAAAAAGAACAAAAUAAUGCCAUUUGCAGUAACAUGGAUGGAACUAGAAAUCCUCAUACUAAAUGAAGUUAAGUCAGAAGAGAAAGACAAAUACCAUAUGAUAGCACUUAUACAUGGACUCUAAGAUACCGCACAAAUGAACCUACCGACAAAAGAGAAACAGACUCACAGACAUGGAGAACAGACAUGUGGUUGCCAAGGGUGAGGAGAGAGGGAGUGGAAUGGAAUGAGAUUUUGGUUUUAAUAGAUGCGAAUUAUUAUAUUUAUAAUGGAUAGACAAUAAGGUCCUACUGCAUAGCACAGUGAACUAUAUCCCAAUGUCCUGGGAUAAACCGUAUGGAAAAUAAGAUUUAAAAAAAGAAUGUAAAUAAUGAAUUUUAUUUUAUUUUAUUUUAUUAGUGUUUUUAAAGGGCUGCACCCACAACAUAUGUAAGUUCCCAGGCCAGUGGUCGAAUCAGAGCUCUAGUUGCCAGCAUACACCACAGCCACAGCAACAUGGGAUCCAAGCUGGGUCUGCGACCUACACCAUAGCUCACAGCAAUGCCAGAUCCUUAAUCCACUGAGGAUACUAAAUCCUCAUGGAUACUAGUCAGGUUUGUUACCACUGAGCCACAAUCGGACCCCCCUUAAGUAACAAUUUUUAAAUUAUUCUCCUAUCUCUGAUGUACUACAUGAGAAUUUUGAUAAAUGGAUACAAUUUACAGAUUUGGUGAAAUUUGUAUUGAAGGAAAUUUGAGAAUUAUUAAUAUUUUAUAUUCUUCAUUAACUUGAUUUAUCAGAUACUGUGUUCCUUAUGUAAUGGUCUUAAAUAAUUGUCUACCCUUAAUAAUAAUUAAAAUGAAUAAAAAUAAUUUACAGCUAUGUGAUGGCCAAGUCCAUCAUGGCUAGUGGUUGACGUUUAAUUCAGUGUCUGGCUAAGUGACUGAGUCAUAAACACACUCAUUUGAUCUCAACAACAUACCUAACUACAUAUAAAGGAACUAUAUGUUCACCUUGAAAGGAUAUUUUUAAAUAAUUACUUUAUCUGUUGAUCUUUACCAUAAAUUUAAACAAGCACAUUAUUUCUUUUGACACCAUGAACUCCUUGGAACAUUUUCUCUAAAUCUCAGAAUUUCCCAAACCACUAGUUGGGUUAAGACUGUUCAAAGAAUGUUAGAAAAGUGCUUAACCUCCAUGGAACAUUAAGACCCCCUAAAGAGGUCCCCUGCUCUUUUGGUCCAUGGAAAACAACUUCAACCCUGACCACAACUGAGUAUCAGGUAUGCAGACAUAGAUGGGAGGAUGUGCAAGGAGACAAUCCCUGAGAAAAGCCAGACCAGACUCAAUAUAAGAAAGAAUGUGAAAACUCAAGGAAGACAUCAACAUGAAAGAGGAAAUCUGGAACCUUGCACCAGAAAUAGCAGCAAGUCCUAGGGAUUAGAAGAAAGCAAUGGAAAAAGGAAAUGUGUGCUUAACCACUCCUGAUCUCCCUCCCUUUAGCUUCCCCAAUCUUCCCCCAACUCCAGGCACCCAAGACCUCUAGAAAGGAAAGGGCUGUGGUAGAAAUAAAAGAUAUGUACUGGGAAUCUAAACAACUUUUCUAUGGGGACGCCACUCUGAAAAGUUAAACACAAGAAGAGAAGGUGAAGGCAUUGUCCUCCUGGCUGAUGAGAGAGGUGAGCAAUGGAAAUCAGGGGACAACAGGUUUGGUGGAGCUGUAGAGACCGGUAACACCUAGAGAAGGACCACAAUGAAAACAGCAAUGCACAGCAGCCCAGAUUCACAGGACUGGAAUGGUGGCAGCGGUGCUAACAACCCAGGUGGCAAGGUAGUCAGGGGCCUAUAGUAAGGUAAAAAAAUCCAAGAGCAAGAGGGCAACAGGAGGUUUCAAAGUAGUGCUUAAGGACAAAUGACCCAUGAGCCCCAUGAAUACGGUGGUAAAAAGGAAAGCAAAGAGUUCCCAUCAGAAACUUUUAAUUUUUUAUAAGAAAAUAUUUUCCUUCUGUCAGGAAAUCUCAGAAGGUAAGUGACACAGGUGAGAGAUAGUUUUAAAAGUGUAAGUAAUCUUGGGGGUUUGUAGAAAUAUUUAGGAAGAGAAAUCAUUUCAUAUACAGGCAGAUAAUAUACAAGACAAGACUUAGAGCCAUUGAAAUCUGAAAAUCAUUUGAAACAUGACCAAAUAUGUACUCACCUUUUAAUAAAGCUUAGAAUAUAGACAUACACAACUUUUCCUAGGUAUGGAAUUAUGGGUGCUUUUAUUUUCUUAAUUUCAUCUCAUUUGAAUUUUCCAAAGUUUCUUCAAAGAACAUGUAACAUUUGGGUAUUAAAAAAGAAUAAAAUCUAUUUUUUAGGGCCUCAUCUGCAGCAUAUAGAAGUUCCCAGGCUAGGGGUCGAAUUAAAGCUGUAGCUGCAGGCCUAUACCACAGCCAUGGCAAAGCAGAAUCCAAGCAGCAUCUGUGACCUACAUCACAGCUUGCAGCAAUGCUGGAUCCUUAACCCACUGAGUGAGGCCAGAGAUCAAACCCACAUCCUCAUGGAGACUAGUUGGGUUCAUAACCCACGGAGGCACAACAGGAACGCCUAUAUUUUACAAUUAAAUGCCAUUUUCCACAGGUUAAAUUGCAAAGAUCAAAAAAAGUUUAUUACUCAGUAUUGGUAAAAGGGCAGGGAAGUAAGCUCUCAUACUCCGCUCACAAAAUAAUAAAGGAUUAUGUUAUUUUUGGAAGACAAUUUGAGAAAAAAAAAUUAUAAUUCUUAAAAAUUUUAUAUAAUUUUGUCCAGGAAUUCUGCUUCUAGAAAUAUACAAAAUGUAGAGAAUUAUCCUAUUUUUAUAAAAAGUACUAUGAACAGACAAGAAGACAGACAAGUAGUAAAUUAUAAUAAUAUAUGCCAAAUUAUUAAUGAUAGUACUGAUAGGAUCAUGAGUGAUUUUCAUUUUAAGUAUUCUCUUCCACAUAUUUCUGCUAUGAAAAUUGUCACUUAAACAGGAAAAUGUUAUUUUAAAUAAACUAAAUUGAAAAGUUAUCAUGGCAUUGAAUUUUUCAUCAUGUUCUCAUAUUUUUUAUCUUCUUAUCUGUGGUUACAUCCUAUUCUAAUUCCUAAUAUCACUUAAUUUCUUCAGUGGUUGAGCAGCAAUGUAUUUUACAGUUUUCUCAAUAACUUUUUUGGGGAUUUAUUAAUCAAAUCUCUUGUUCUUGUUUUCUAAUCCAACAAAAUCUGCUUUUAUCUUUAUUAAUUUCUUCAUCCUGGUCUCCUUUGACUUAUUUUAUCAUUCUCUUUAUACCUGCUUGAAUUGAUGGCUUAGGUACAUUUAUUUUUAUUUUUUUCUAUUUUAGCAAUUUAGAAAUAAAAUCCAAAGAUUCUGAUUUUGUAUCCAGUUCCUUAUUACAAAUGAUUAUUAUUUAUUUUAAUAUCUUUUUAUGACUGAAUUAAAAUCUGAGUUUGAUACUGUGACCAAAUUUGCAAAAAGUAUUUAGACUUAAUUCUAUGUCUAAAUCAUUGCAUUAUUCCUUACCAUUUUUUUAAUUUACAUACAGUAAAAUUCACUUUUUCUGUAUAGUUCUAUGAAUUCGGCAAAUGUAGAGUUUGUAACUACCAUCACAAUCAAGACAUUGAUUAUUCCUAUCAAAACGUUCCCUCAUGCCCUUUUUGGAAUAAAUUUCCUUCCUCUACCCCCAGUGCCUAACAACCACUGAUAUAAUUUGUCUUCAAAUGUUUACUUUUUCCAGGAUGUCAUGUUGUUGCAUAAAUCAACACUGUUCCUUUUUAUUAAUGAAUAGUGUUCCAUGUGUAGGUGUGCCAAAAUCUGUUUAUCCAUUCAUCAGGUGAUGGGCAUUUGGGUUGCUAUAAAUAUUUGCAUACAGGUCUUUGUGUGGACAUAUGUUUUCACUUCUCUUGUGUAAAUAUCCAGGAAUGGGAUUUCUGGCCCUAUAGUAAGUAUUUGUUUAUCUUUAUAAGAUACUACCAAAUUGUUUUCCAAAGUGAGUGCAUUAUUUUACAUUCCCCCCAGCAGUUUAUAAAAACCCCAGGUGUUCCACAUUCUCAUAUAGUCACUAACACUUGAAACUGUCACAUUGGGGCUGGGGUAAGGAUAGAGUGAAGAGGCAGGGGCCUUUCUUUUCCUUUUCAUUGUUCUAAUAAAUAAAUGUAGUCUCACAUUGCUUUAAUUUGUGUUUUCAUAAGUUUGUGUAGUAACUAAUGAUGUUAAAUAUUUUUAAAUGUGCUUAUUGGCAAUCAGCCAUAAGUACCUCCUCUUCUUUUGUGAAGUGACUGUUCAAAUCUUUUGCCUGUUUUUUAAACUGGAUUUUGUUAUUUUACUAUUGAGUUGUGAAAGUUCUUUGUAUAUUCUAAAUCCAGAUCCUGAUAUCUGUUUUGCAAAUAUUUUCUCUCAGUCUAUAUACAAACAGUUCAUAUAGCUCAACAUCAGAAAGACAAACAACCCAAUCAAAAAAUGGGCAGAAGAUCUAAGUACACAUUUCUCCAAAGAAGACAUACAGAUGAUCAGAGGGCACAUGAAAACAUGAACAUCACUAAUUAUUAGAGGUAUGCAAAUCAAAAUCAUGAGAUAUUACCUCACACCAGUCAGAAUGGCCAUCAUCAAAAAGUCUACAAAUAAUAAAUGCUGGAGAGGGUGUAGAGAAAAAGGAACUUGCCUACACUGUUGGUGGGAAUGAAAGUUGGUACAACCAGUGUGGAAAACAGUAUGGAGUUUCCUCAGAAAAGUAAAAAUAGAAUUACCAUAUUAUCUAGCAAUCCCACUCCUAGGCAUAUACCUAGAUAAAAUCAUGAUUCAAAAAGAUACAUGCACCUCAAUGUUCACUGCAACACUAUUUACAAUAGCCAAGACAUGGAAGCAACCUAAAUACCCAUCAACGGAUGAGUAAAUAAGGAAAACAGAAUAUUACUUACAGAGUAAAUAAACAAUGGAACAUUACCCAGCUAUAAAAAGUAUGAAAUAAUGCCAUUUGCAGCAACAUGGAUGCACCCAGAUUUUAUCAUACUAAGUGAAGGAAGUCAGAUAGAGAAAAGCAAAUAUCAUACGAUAUUGCUUAUACAUGGAAUCUUUUUUUAAAUAAAUGAUACAAAUGAACUUAGUUAGAAAACAGGAAUAGGAGUUCCCUUCAUGGCUCAGCAGAAACAAAUCUGACUAGCAUCCAUGAGGACGUAGGUUUGAUCCCUGACCUCACUCAGUGGGUUAAGGAGCCAGCUUUGCCAUGAGCUGUGGUGUAAGUCACAGAUGUGGCUUGGAUCUGGCAUUGCUGUGGCUGUGGUGUAGGCCAGUGUCUCCAACUCUCAUUCAACCCCUAGCCUGGAAAACUCCAUAUGCCAUGGGUGUGGU